RNAcentral lists this non-coding RNA (199 nucleotides) under bovine gut metagenome. RNAcentral's name for it is "raiA RNA". It matches the Rfam family "raiA RNA". The record is from RNAcentral.
AUCGGGUCUGUGGUUGAAAGCCGAUGCCAGUCGCAGGCAAAGCGGUCCACGUAAGCCAGAAAAAAUUCCGGUGAGCAUGGUGCGGUCUAGAAGUAAGCCCGGCCGCGCGUUCGCGCGCGAGAGGAUGGCGUGAGGGCGUAGAACACGCAGAGCUAUAUCCCAGCCGGCGAGUGUGGGGUCAAAAACCAGGUCAGCCGCA